This is a non-coding RNA of Podarcis lilfordi (Lilford's wall lizard), 74 nucleotides long. The record is from the annotation of a GenBank genome assembly. NCBI's taxonomy places the organism in Eukaryota, Metazoa, Chordata, Lepidosauria, Squamata, Lacertidae.
GUCUGGAUAGCUCUGUUGAUUAGAGCGUAGUGCUGAUAAUGCCAAGGCCGCAGGUUCAAUCCCUGUAUGGGACA